This 464-nucleotide ribosomal RNA is filed under the name uncultured bacterium. RNAcentral's name for it is "partial 16S ribosomal RNA". It matches the Rfam family "Bacterial small subunit ribosomal RNA", at positions 339 to 795 of the family's 1533-position model. The record is from RNAcentral.
CUACGAGCCGCAGCAGUGGGGAAUAUUGCACAAUGGGCGCAAGCCUGAUGCAGCCAUGCCGCGUGUAUGAAGAAGGCCUUCGGGUUGUAAAGUACUUUCAGCGGGGAGGAAGGGAGUAAAGUUAAUACCUUUGCUCAUUGACGUUACCCGCAGAAGAAGCACCGGCUAACUCCGUGCCAGCAGCCGCGGUAAUACGGAGGGUGCAAGCGUUAAUCGGAAUUACUGGGCGUAAAGCGCACGCAGGCGGUUUGUUAAGUCAGCUGUGAAAUCCCCGGGCUCAACCUGGGAACUGCAUCUGAUACUGGCAAGCUUGAGUCUCGUAGAGGGGGGUAGAAUUCCAGGUGUAGCGGUGAAAUGCGUAGAGAUCUGGAGGAAUACCGGUGGCGAAGGCGGCCCCCUGGACGAAGACUGACGCUCAGGUGCGAAAGCGUGGGGAGCAAACAGGAUUAGAUACCCCCGUAGUC